This 232-nucleotide ribosomal RNA is filed under the name uncultured bacterium. Its description in RNAcentral is "partial 16S ribosomal RNA". It matches the Rfam family "Bacterial small subunit ribosomal RNA", at positions 103 to 334 of the family's 1533-position model. The record is from RNAcentral.
CGGGUGAGUAACGCGUGGUCAACCUACCGUUGAGUGGGGGAUAACUAGCCGAAAGGUUAGCUAAUACCGCAUACGUCUCCGAGAGGCAUCUCUUGGCGAUAAAAGGAGCAAUCCGCUCGAUGACGGGACCGCGUCCCAUUAGCUAGAUGGUGGGGUAACGGCCUACCAUGGCUCCGAUGGGUAGCUGGUUUGAGAGAGCGACCAGCCACACUGGGACUGAGAAACGGCCCAG